This 484-nucleotide ribosomal RNA is filed under the name uncultured bacterium. RNAcentral's name for it is "partial 16S ribosomal RNA". It matches the Rfam family "Bacterial small subunit ribosomal RNA", at positions 28 to 523 of the family's 1533-position model. The record is from RNAcentral.
GACGAACGCUGGCGGCGUGCUUAACACAUGCAAGUCGAACGAUGAACCCGGAGCUUGCUCCGGCGGAUUAGUGGCGAACGGGUGAGUAACACGUGAGUAACCUGCCCUUGACUCUGGGAUAACUGCGGGAAACUGUAGCUAAUACCGGAUACGACCCUCGGCGGCAUCGCCAGGGGGUGGAAAGAAUUUCGGUCAAGGAUGGACUCGCGGCCUAUCAGCUAGUUGGUGAGGUAACGGCUCACCAAGGCGACGACGGGUAGCCGGCCUGAGAGGGUGACCGGCCACACUGGGACUGAGACACGGCCCAGACUCCUACGGGAGGCAGCAGUGGGGAAUAUUGCACAAUGGGCGCAAGCCUGAUGCAGCAACGCCGCGUGAGGGAUGACGGCCUUCGGGUUGUAAACCUCUUUUAGUAGGGAAGAGGCGAAAGUGACGGUACCUAAAGAAGAAGCACCGGCUAACUACGUGCCAGCCGCCGCCGUAA